RNAcentral lists this ribosomal RNA (253 nucleotides) under uncultured bacterium. Its description in RNAcentral is "partial 16S ribosomal RNA". It matches the Rfam family "Bacterial small subunit ribosomal RNA", at positions 524 to 776 of the family's 1533-position model. The record is from RNAcentral.
UACGGGGGGGGCGAGCGUUGUUCGGAAUUACUGGGCGUAAAGGGCUCGUAGGCGGCCAACUAAGUCAGACGUGAAAUCCCUCGGCUUAACCGGGGAACUGCGUCUGAUACUGGUUGGCUUGAGUUUGGGAGAGGGAUGCGGAAUUCCAGGUGUAGCGGUGAAAUGCGUAGAUAUCUGGAGGAACACCGGUGGCGAAGGCGGCAUCCUGGACCAACACUGACGCUGAGGAGCGAAAGCGUGGGGAGCGAACAGG